Molecule: ribosomal RNA, 901 nt
Filed under: Acinetobacter bohemicus
Lineage: Bacteria; Pseudomonadati; Pseudomonadota; Gammaproteobacteria; Moraxellales; Moraxellaceae
Description: bacterial SSU rRNA
Rfam family: Bacterial small subunit ribosomal RNA
Source: RNAcentral
UGGCGGCAGGCUUAACACAUGCAAGUCGAGCGGAGAUGAGGUGCUUGCACCUUAUCUUAGCGGCGGACGGGUGAGUAAUGCUUAGGAAUCUGCCUAUUAGUGGGGGACAACAUUUCGAAAGGAAUGCUAAUACCGCAUACGCCCUACGGGGGAAAGCAGGGGAUCUUCGGACCUUGCGCUAAUAGAUGAGCCUAAGUCGGAUUAGCUAGUUGGUGGGGUAAAGGCCUACCAAGGCGACGAUCUGUAGCGGGUCUGAGAGGAUGAUCCGCCACACUGGGACUGAGACACGGCCCAGACUCCUACGGGAGGCAGCAGUGGGGAAUAUUGGACAAUGGGGGGAACCCUGAUCCAGCCAUGCCGCGUGUGUGAAGAAGGCCUUUUGGUUGUAAAGCACUUUAAGCGAGGAGGAGGAGCUCUAGACUAAUACUCUAGAUGCUUGGACGUUACUCGCAGAAUAAGCACCGGCUAACUCUGUGCCAGCAGCCGCGGUAAUACAGAGGGUGCAAGCGUUAAUCGGAUUUACUGGGCGUAAAGCGUGCGUAGGUGGUCUUUUAAGUCGGAUGUGAAAUCCCUGAGCUUAACUUAGGAAUUGCAUUCGAUACUGGGAGACUAGAGUAUGGGAGAGGAUGGUAGAAUUCCAGGUGUAGCGGUGAAAUGCGUAGAGAUCUGGAGGAAUACCGAUGGCGAAGGCAGCCAUCUGGCCUAAUACUGACACUGAGGUACGAAAGCAUGGGGAGCAAACAGGAUUAGAUACCCUGGUAGUCCAUGCCGUAAACGAUGUCUACUAGCCGUUGGGGUCUUUGAGACUUUAGUGGCGCAGCUAACGCGAUAAGUAGACCGCCUGGGGAGUACGGUCGCAAGACUAAAACUCAAAUGAAUUGACGGGGGCCCGCACAAGCGG